Molecule: long non-coding RNA, 536 nt
Organism: Cervus elaphus (red deer)
Lineage: Eukaryota; Metazoa; Chordata; Mammalia; Artiodactyla; Cervidae
Exons: 5
Source: RefSeq, a predicted model, not a curated record
CCAAGGUGUCCCAGCAACAGGUUGUACCAAGGUCCUAGACAUGUGGAGUAGGUCAUCUUGGAUCUACCAGCUGCACCAAAACCACUCCAGCAGAUAUUAUAUAGAACACAGAACAUAAUCAUCUAUACCUGACUUUAUAUAUGAAGGAAGUGGCUGGACAAAGUCCCAAGGUUGAGACAGAGAGAAGAUAAUUUCUUCAAGCACCACCGUUGUCACUGCCGCCAUCCCAGGAUGACUAUCACCACCGCCAUCACCACCACCAUCAGCAACUUCGUCAUUGUCACCACAGAGUAAGAGCCACCAGCAACGCAGACCUGAGUCAACCCUGUAGACCAGUUCUAACUCAGCUCUCCCCAGGGGCCGUCAAGACAGUGGAGGUGACAAUGUGGAAGCAGCAGCAAGUGCCAAUUUAAAGUCACACUCUUCAAAUUCAUCUUUAGUACGGAGUGGGGAAAUGGUGAGGGGAAUCCCCACCACCACUGGCCACGAGUUUUCUACUAAGUCGGACUGUGUGUGCUGCCUAGAUACCACCUGAA